Molecule: ribosomal RNA, 2904 nt
Filed under: Escherichia coli
Lineage: Bacteria; Pseudomonadati; Pseudomonadota; Gammaproteobacteria; Enterobacterales; Enterobacteriaceae
Description: 23S ribosomal RNA
Rfam family: Bacterial large subunit ribosomal RNA
Source: RNAcentral
GGUUAAGCGACUAAGCGUACACGGUGGAUGCCCUGGCAGUCAGAGGCGAUGAAGGACGUGCUAAUCUGCGAUAAGCGUCGGUAAGGUGAUAUGAACCGUUAUAACCGGCGAUUUCCGAAUGGGGAAACCCAGUGUGUUUCGACACACUAUCAUUAACUGAAUCCAUAGGUUAAUGAGGCGAACCGGGGGAACUGAAACAUCUAAGUACCCCGAGGAAAAGAAAUCAACCGAGAUUCCCCCAGUAGCGGCGAGCGAACGGGGAGGAGCCCAGAGCCUGAAUCAGUGUGUGUGUUAGUGGAAGCGUCUGGAAAGGCGCGCGAUACAGGGUGACAGCCCCGUACACAAAAAUGCACAUGCUGUGAGCUCGAUGAGUAGGGCGGGACACGUGGUAUCCUGUCUGAAUAUGGGGGGACCAUCCUCCAAGGCUAAAUACUCCUGACUGACCGAUAGUGAACCAGUACCGUGAGGGAAAGGCGAAAAGAACCCCGGCGAGGGGAGUGAAAAAGAACCUGAAACCGUGUACGUACAAGCAGUGGGAGCACGCUUAGGCGUGUGACUGCGUACCUUUUGUAUAAUGGGUCAGCGACUUAUAUUCUGUAGCAAGGUUAACCGAAUAGGGGAGCCGAAGGGAAACCGAGUCUUAACUGGGCGUUAAGUUGCAGGGUAUAGACCCGAAACCCGGUGAUCUAGCCAUGGGCAGGUUGAAGGUUGGGUAACACUAACUGGAGGACCGAACCGACUAAUGUUGAAAAAUUAGCGGAUGACUUGUGGCUGGGGGUGAAAGGCCAAUCAAACCGGGAGAUAGCUGGUUCUCCCCGAAAGCUAUUUAGGUAGCGCCUCGUGAAUUCAUCUCCGGGGGUAGAGCACUGUUUCGGCAAGGGGGUCAUCCCGACUUACCAACCCGAUGCAAACUGCGAAUACCGGAGAAUGUUAUCACGGGAGACACACGGCGGGUGCUAACGUCCGUCGUGAAGAGGGAAACAACCCAGACCGCCAGCUAAGGUCCCAAAGUCAUGGUUAAGUGGGAAACGAUGUGGGAAGGCCCAGACAGCCAGGAUGUUGGCUUAGAAGCAGCCAUCAUUUAAAGAAAGCGUAAUAGCUCACUGGUCGAGUCGGCCUGCGCGGAAGAUGUAACGGGGCUAAACCAUGCACCGAAGCUGCGGCAGCGACGCUGAUGCGUUGUUGGGUAGGGGAGCGUUCUGUAAGCCUGCGAAGGUGUGCUGUGAGGCAUGCUGGAGGUAUCAGAAGUGCGAAUGCUGACAUAAGUAACGAUAAAGCGGGUGAAAAGCCCGCUCGCCGGAAGACCAAGGGUUCCUGUCCAACGUUAAUCGGGGCAGGGUGAGUCGACCCCUAAGGCGAGGCCGAAAGGCGUAGUCGAUGGGAAACAGGUUAAUAUUCCUGUACUUGGUGUUACUGCGAAGGGGGGACGGAGAAGGCUAUGUUGGCCGGGCGACGGUUGUCCCGGUUUAAGCGUGUAGGCUGGUUUUCCAGGCAAAUCCGGAAAAUCAAGGCUGAGGCGUGAUGACGAGGCACUACGGUGCUGAAGCAACAAAUGCCCUGCUUCCAGGAAAAGCCUCUAAGCAUCAGGUAACAUCAAAUCGUACCCCAAACCGACACAGGUGGUCAGGUAGAGAAUACCAAGGCGCUUGAGAGAACUCGGGUGAAGGAACUAGGCAAAAUGGUGCCGUAACUUCGGGAGAAGGCACGCUGAUAUGUAGGUGAAGUCCCUUGCGGAUGGAGCUGAAAUCAGUCGAAGAUACCAGCUGGCUGCAACUGUUUAUUAAAAACACAGCACUGUGCAAACACGAAAGUGGACGUAUACGGUGUGACGCCUGCCCGGUGCCGGAAGGUUAAUUGAUGGGGUCAGCGCAAGCGAAGCUCUUGAUCGAAGCCCCGGUAAACGGCGGCCGUAACUAUAACGGUCCUAAGGUAGCGAAAUUCCUUGUCGGGUAAGUUCCGACCUGCACGAAUGGCGUAAUGAUGGCCAGGCUGUCUCCACCCGAGACUCAGUGAAAUUGAACUCGCUGUGAAGAUGCAGUGUACCCGCGGCAAGACGGAAAGACCCCGUGAACCUUUACUAUAGCUUGACACUGAACAUUGAGCCUUGAUGUGUAGGAUAGGUGGGAGGCUUGGAAGUGUGGACGCCAGUCUGCAUGGAGCCGACCUUGAAAUACCACCCUUUAAUGUUUGAUGUUCUAACGUUGACCCGUAAUCCGGGUUGCGGACAGUGUCUGGUGGGUAGUUUGACUGGGGCGGUCUCCUCCUAAAGAGUAACGGAGGAGCACGAAGGUUGGCUAAUCCUGGUCGGACAUCAGGAGGUUAGUGCAAUGGCAUAAGCCAGCUUGACUGCGAGCGUGACGGCGCGAGCAGGUGCGAAAGCAGGUCAUAGUGAUCCGGUGGUUCUGAAUGGAAGGGCCAUCGCUCAACGGAUAAAAGGUACUCCGGGGAUAACAGGCUGAUACCGCCCAAGAGUUCAUAUCGACGGCGGUGUUUGGCACCUCGAUGUCGGCUCAUCACAUCCUGGGGCUGAAGUAGGUCCCAAGGGUAUGGCUGUUCGCCAUUUAAAGUGGUACGCGAGCUGGGUUUAGAACGUCGUGAGACAGUUCGGUCCCUAUCUGCCGUGGGCGCUGGAGAACUGAGGGGGGCUGCUCCUAGUACGAGAGGACCGGAGUGGACGCAUCACUGGUGUUCGGGUUGUCAUGCCAAUGGCACUGCCCGGUAGCUAAAUGCGGAAGAGAUAAGUGCUGAAAGCAUCUAAGCACGAAACUUGCCCCGAGAUGAGUUCUCCCUGACCCUUUAAGGGUCCUGAAGGAACGUUGAAGACGACGACGUUGAUAGGCCGGGUGUGUAAGCGCAGCGAUGCGUUGAGCUAACCGGUACUAAUGAACCGUGAGGCUUAACCUU